RNAcentral lists this ribosomal RNA (253 nucleotides) under uncultured bacterium. RNAcentral describes it as "partial 16S ribosomal RNA". It matches the Rfam family "Bacterial small subunit ribosomal RNA", at positions 524 to 776 of the family's 1533-position model. The record is from RNAcentral.
UACGAGAGGCCCAAACGUUAUUCGGAUUUACUGGGCUUAAAGAGUUCGUAGGCGGUCCAUCAAGUGGGGUGUGAAAUCCCUCGGCUCAACCGAGGAAUUGCGCUCCAAACUGUUGGGCUCGAGGGAGAUAGAGGUGAGCGGAACUGAUGGUGGAGCGGUGAAAUGCGUUGAUAUCAUCAGGAACACCAGAGGCGAAGGCGGCUUACUGGGUCUCUUCUGACGCUGAGGAACGAAAGCUAGGGGAGCAAACGGG